RNAcentral lists this ribosomal RNA (568 nucleotides) under uncultured bacterium. RNAcentral describes it as "partial 16S ribosomal RNA". It matches the Rfam family "Bacterial small subunit ribosomal RNA", at positions 355 to 913 of the family's 1533-position model. The record is from RNAcentral.
UGGGGAAUAUUGCACAAUGGGCGCAAGCCUGAUGCAGCCAUGCCGCGUGUGUGAAGAAGGCCUUCGGGUUGUAAAGCACUUUCAGCGAGGAGGAAGGUGGUGAGCUUAAUACGCUCAUCAAUUGACGUUACUCGCAGAAGAAGCACCGGCUAACUCCGUGCCAGCAGCCGCGGUAAUACGGAGGGUGCAAGCGUUAAUCGGAAUUACUGGGCGUAAAGCGCACGCAGGCGGUUUGUUAAGUCAGAUGUGAAAUCCCCGGGCUCAACCUGGGAACUGCAUUUGAAACUGGCAAGCUAGAGUCUCGUAGAGGGGGGUAGAAUUCCAGGUGUAGCGGUGAAAUGCGUAGAGAUCUGGAGGAAUACCGGUAGCGAAGGCGGCCCCCUGGACGAAGACUGACGCUCAGGUGCGAAAGCGUGGGGCAGCAAACAGGAUUAGAUACCCUGGUAGUCCACGCUGUAAACGAUGUCGAUUUGGAGGUUGUGCCCCUUGAGGCGUGGCUUCCGGAGCUAACGCGUUAAAUCGACCGCCNGGGGAGUACGGCCGCAAGGUUAAAACUCAAAUGAAUUGC